UACGUAGGGGGCAAGCGUUGUCCGGAUUUAUUGGGCGUAAAGAGCGUGUAGGCGGCCAGAUAGGUCCGUUGUGAAAACUGGAGGCUUAACCUCCAGCGGUCGAUGGAAACCAUUUGGCUAGAGUCCGGAAGAGGAGAGUGGAAUUCCUGGUGUAGCGGUGAAAUGCGCAGAUAUCAGGAAGAACACCCGUGGCGAAGGCGGCUCUCUGGGACGGUACUGACGCUCAGGGGCGAAAGCGUGGGGAGCAAACCGG
Molecule: ribosomal RNA, 253 nt
Filed under: uncultured bacterium
Lineage: Bacteria
Description: partial 16S ribosomal RNA
Rfam family: Bacterial small subunit ribosomal RNA
Source: RNAcentral